UAGUGAGUUUGAUCCUGGCUCAGGAUGAACGCUAGCGGCAGGCCUAAUACAUGCAAGUCGAACGGUGGUAGCAAUACCAUAGUGGCGCACGGGUGCGUAACGCGUAACCAACCUGCCCUGAACUGGGGGAUAGCCCGCCGAAAGGCGGAUUAAUACCGCAUAAACCAACAGAACGGCAUCGUUUAAUUGGUAAAGAUUUAUUGGUUCAGGAUGGGGUUGCGUUCCAUCAGCUAGUUGGUAGGGUAAAGGCCUACCAAGGCGACGACGGAUAGCCGGCCUGAGAGGGUGGCCGGCCACAGGGGCACUGAGACACGGGCCCCACUCCUACGGGGAGGCAGCAGUUAGGAAUCUUCCACAAUGGGCGAAAGCCUGAUGGAGCGACG
RNAcentral lists this ribosomal RNA (383 nucleotides) under uncultured Hymenobacter sp. RNAcentral's name for it is "bacterial SSU rRNA". It matches the Rfam family "Bacterial small subunit ribosomal RNA", at positions 1 to 396 of the family's 1533-position model. Lineage: Bacteria; Pseudomonadati; Bacteroidota; Cytophagia; Cytophagales; Hymenobacteraceae. The record is from RNAcentral.